UGAGAAACACAGAUGGUCGCGCCUGCCUUAUGGCAGGUGAGGAAAGUCCGGGCUUCACAGGGCAGGGUGCCAGAUAACGUCUGGUGGAGGUGACUCCAAGGAUAGUGCAACAGAAAAUAACCGUCUGACCUGGUCAGAUAAGGGUGAAAAGGCGUGUGUAAGAGACCACCGCUCUUUCGGUAACGAAGGAGGCCGUGUAAACCCCAUCCGAAGAAAGACCAAAUAUAAAGCUAUACGGCUGCCCGUCGUGCUUUUAGGUGGGUCGAUAGAGAUUGUCGGUGACGGCAAUUCGAGAUAGAUGAUCAUCAGAUACAUAACCCGGCUUAUAGUGUUUCUCACUUA
This 342-nucleotide RNase P RNA is filed under the name Lachnospiraceae bacterium. RNAcentral's name for it is "RNase P RNA component class A". It matches the Rfam family "Bacterial RNase P class A". From Rfam's summary of the family: Ribonuclease P (RNase P) is a ubiquitous endoribonuclease, found in archaea, bacteria and eukarya as well as chloroplasts and mitochondria. Its best characterised activity is the generation of mature 5'-ends of tRNAs by cleaving the 5'-leader elements of precursor-tRNAs. The record is from RNAcentral. Lineage: Bacteria; Bacillati; Bacillota; Clostridia; Lachnospirales; Lachnospiraceae.